UACGAUGAUCAGACUCGGCAGAGCAUAGA
RNAcentral lists this non-coding RNA (29 nucleotides) under Mus musculus (house mouse). The record is from RNAcentral. Lineage: Eukaryota; Metazoa; Chordata; Mammalia; Rodentia; Muridae.